GAUGAACGCUGGCGGCGUGCCUAAUACAUGCAAGUCGAGCGAACAGACGAGGAGCUUGCUCCUCUGACGUUAGCGGCGGACGGGUGAGUAACACGUGGAUAACCUACCUAUAAGACUGGUAUAACUUCGGGAAACCGGAGCUAAUACCGGAUAAUAUCUUGCACCGCAUGGUUCAAUAGUGAAAGACGGUUUUGCUGUCACUUAUAGAUGGAUUCGCGCCGCAUUAGCUAGUUGGUAAGGUAACGGCUUACCAAGGCAACGAUGCGUAGCCCACCGGAGAGACGGAUAGGCGACCUGAGAGCUGGGCCGCGGACCAGGCGACUGAGGGAGGCAGCAGAAGGGAAUCGUACGCAGUAGGCGAAAGCAUGGCGGAACAACGGCACGUGAGUGAUAGCAAUCUUGGGUUCGGGAAACUCUGUUAUUAGGGAAAAACAGAUGUGUAAGUAACUGUGCACGUAUUGACGGUAACUAAUAAGAAAGCAACGGCUAACUACGUG
Molecule: ribosomal RNA, 497 nt
Filed under: uncultured bacterium
Lineage: Bacteria
Description: partial 16S ribosomal RNA
Rfam family: Bacterial small subunit ribosomal RNA
Source: RNAcentral